RNAcentral lists this ribosomal RNA (434 nucleotides) under uncultured Enterobacter sp. Its description in RNAcentral is "bacterial SSU rRNA". It matches the Rfam family "Bacterial small subunit ribosomal RNA", at positions 958 to 1392 of the family's 1533-position model. The record is from RNAcentral. Lineage: Bacteria; Pseudomonadati; Pseudomonadota; Gammaproteobacteria; Enterobacterales; Enterobacteriaceae.
AACGCGAAGAACCUUACCUACUCUUGACAUCCAGAGAACUUUCCAGAGAUGGAUUGGUGCCUUCGGGAACUCUGAGACAGGUGCUGCAUGGCUGUCGUCAGCUCGUGUUGUGAAAUGUUGGGUUAAGUCCCGCAACGAGCGCAACCCUUAUCCUUUGUUGCCAGCGGUUCGGCCGGGAACUCAAAGGAGACUGCCAGUGAUAAACUGGAGGAAGGUGGGGAUGACGUCAAGUCAUCAUGGCCCUUACGAGUAGGGCUACACACGUGCUACAAUGGCGCAUACAAAGAGAAGCGACCUCGCGAGAGCAAGCGGACCUCAUAAAGUGCGUCGUAGUCCGGAUUGGAGUCUGCAACUCGACUCCAUGAAGUCGGAAUCGCUAGUAAUCGUAAAUCAGAAUGUUACGGUGAAUACGUUCCCGGGCCUUGUACACACCG